GUCGGGUAAGUUCCGACCUGCACGAAUGGCGUAACGAUGGCGGCGCUGUCUCCACCCGAGACUCAGUGAAAUUGAAAUCGCUGUGAAGAUGCAGUGUAUCCGCGGCUAGACGGAAAGACCCCGUGAACCUUUACUGUAGCUUUGCACUGGACUUUGAGCCUGCUUGUGUAGGAUAGGUGGGAGGCUUUGAAGCGUGGACGCCAGUUCGCGUGGAGCCAUCCUUGAAAUACCACCCUGGCAUGCUUGAGGUUCUAACUCUGGUCCGUGAUCCGGAUCGAGGACAGUGUAUGGUGGGCAGUUUGACUGGGGCGGUCUCCUCCUAAAGAGUAACGGAGGAG
RNAcentral lists this ribosomal RNA (338 nucleotides) under Pseudomonas sp. HMSC066A08. Its description in RNAcentral is "bacterial LSU rRNA". It matches the Rfam family "Bacterial large subunit ribosomal RNA", at positions 1971 to 2308 of the family's 2925-position model. The record is from RNAcentral. Lineage: Bacteria; Pseudomonadati; Pseudomonadota; Gammaproteobacteria; Pseudomonadales; Pseudomonadaceae.